RNAcentral lists this long non-coding RNA (3720 nucleotides) under Salmo salar (Atlantic salmon). Its description in RNAcentral is "lncRNA (ENSSSAG00000110950.1)". Lineage: Eukaryota; Metazoa; Chordata; Actinopteri; Salmoniformes; Salmonidae. The record is from RNAcentral.
CCUUCACGUCCCCCUCGCCUCCUCCCCCUCUCCUCCUCCUCCUCCCACCUUCACGUCCCCCUCUCCUCCUCCUCCUCUCCUCCUCCUCCUCCCACCUUCACGUCCCCCUCUCCUCCUCCUCCCGUCCUCCUCCUCCCACCUUCACGUCCCCCUCUCCUCCUCCUCCUCCCACCUUCACGUCCCCCUCUCCUUCUCCCCCUCUCUUCCUCCUCCCACCUUCACGUCCCCCCUCUCCUCCUCCCCCUCUCCUCCUCCUCCUCCCACCUUCACGUCCCCCCCUCUCCUCCUCCCCCUCUCCUCCUCCUCCUCCUCCUCCCACCUUCACCUCCCCCUCUCCUCCUCCUCCUCCCACCUUCAUGUCCCCCUCUCCUCCUCCUCCUCUCCUCCUCUUCCUCCUCUCCUCUCUGUACGACAUGACUCUAUGUUACAGUGUCUAUGUCCUUAACUAUUUUCUUGUUACUUACUGUAUAUGAACAUCAUGUAUACAAACAUAAAUUUUGCCUUGGCUGCUAUAAAGAGAGAUAUUUUAUUCCAAAGCCAGAUAUUGUGGUGUAGAGUGCAUUACAUACAUCUGUUUAUUUGAGAUUGUUGAUCCAUAAAAUAUACAUAUUGAUAGACUUUCUUUUAAUAUGAAAAAAGAAAGUAAGCUAUAUUUCAUACAUUCAGGGCUUGGAAAGGAAUGGCAUGAACAAAAACAGUCUGUUUUAAGCAAUUUGCUUCUAGGCUAUAGCCUAGUUUUUUUUCAUGUGAAUAUCUUGUAUUAAAGUGUUGUAGUUGAAUAUGCUUUGUGCUGCUACUUCUGCAUCCGCCAAGUGUAACAGCACCCACUAUCUGAGAGGAGGACCUGGCUUGAUCUGAGAGGAGGACCUGGCUUGAUCUGAGAGGAGCAUUACUCCAUCAUGGGAUCACCUUCACCUCCUAGCCUGACAAACAUUAUAUACAACCUGCGUCCCAGAUGGUGCCCUAUUCCCUAACGUAGUGCACUACUUUGGACAACAGUCCUAUGGGCCCUAUUCCCUAAUGUAGUGCACUACUUUGGACCACAUCCCUAUGGGCCCUAGCCAAAUAUAGUGCACUAUAAAGGGAAUAUGAUGACAUUUGUGACACAGCCACAGUCUAUGGUGACCAAGCAUAGUGUUUUACAUCACCAGUCGCAUAUACAAAGGCAGGAUAUGUAAGAGGCUCCUCCCACUGUACCUGUCUCGUCACAGACAACCAAUGAAGGCUUGGUAGCUAGCUAUCCGUCUGACUAGACGUUGGUAUUGUCUGUUAAAGGCAUGUGCUAGUAUUUAUAUCACAAGUCACUGAGAGCCACUGAAAAUGGCCCCCUAUUCCAUAUAUACUGCAUUACUUUUGAGCAUAGCUCGAGCCCUGGCCAAAGUAAUGCAGUACAUAGGGAAUAGGGCCCUGGCCUAAAGUAGUGCACUACAUAGGGAAUAGGGCCCUGACCUAAAGUAGUGCACUACAUAGGGAAUAGGGCCCUGGCCAAAGUAGUGCACUACAGGGAAUAGGGACCUGGCCAAAGUAGUGCACUACAUAGGGAAUAGGGCCCUGGCCAAAGUAGUGCACUACAUAGGGAAUAGGGUCCUGGCCAAAGUAGUGCACUACAUAGGGAAUAGAGCCCUGGCCAAAGUAGUGCACUGCAUAGGGAAUAGGGCCCUGGCCAAAGUAGUGCACUACAUAGGGAAUAGAGCCCUGGCCAAAGUAGUGCACUACAUAGGGAAUAGGGCCCUGGCCAAAGUAGUGUACUACAUAGGGAAUAGGGUACCAUUUGGGUUACUCCUCUAGUGAGGCCUUUCCAAACACCAGCAUAGGUGCAUGUCUCUCUGGUAGCUAGAUAGAAAGAACACCUAACAUGCAUUUACCGUGGAUUCAACUAUUUCCUACAUAAUGAAGUCAGACAACCAAAUAUUUAUUUACAACAGAUAUAGUGAGAUGUAGAGGCUAACGUUAGAUUGUUUUAUAUAGAUUUUGUACAUUGUUUUUUGUACAUAAAGGCACUAUGUCAAUGAUAUUCUAAUGCUGUCUCUUGGAGAAGGGACCACAUGCUUUUUGUUGUUGUUGUUGAAUGGAUUAAAAAUUCAGCUCCCUGAUCAACUGAAAUGAAAUUCAGAAUGACUGUUUGAAAAAACCUUCGUCGUGAACAAUCUAGAACAUUCUAUGGAACUGUAGAAUCACAAAACAACUGAAAGGACUGAAUAAGCUGAUGACUGUUUUGAGAUGAACCGUCUCCAACUAGUAAACAUAGAUUUACUUUUGUAAAACUGGGUAUUUUUUAUAAGUAGUACAGAGAAACUUUUCAAUGAGUGAAUUUAGACUAUAUUCUUUUGAUAAUAAUUAUGGUUGCAAAUAAAUAAAUAAAAUCAUAAUAAUGUUUUGCAGAUUAUUCAAUAUUUGGAUGUGUUCGGUAAACAGUACUUUUAUUGUAAACAAUAUAUUGUUUUUGUUUAUAUGCCAACUAUUCUGUACUGCUUGUUUGACAUUCUCCAAUAUUUUGUUCUUCACCUAGUGCCAAUGUAGUUCCACAUUGUAGUGAUGCAUGUAUCUGAAUGGAGGGCUUCCUUACAAGUCAUAUGGUACAGUGUAAGGGCUGUCUUCAGGAAUGGACCAAAAUGCAGCGGAGUUAGUAUUCAUCUUUCAAUUUAAUUAGAAAGAACACUAUAACAAACAAAACUGAGAAAACCGACAGCCAACAGCCCUGUCAGGUGCAAACACACUAAACAAGAAACAAUUACCCACAACCCCAAAGAAAACACACACUACUAUAUAGGACUCCCAAUCAAAGGCAACUCAACACACCUGCCUUCAAUUGGGAGUCCAACCUCAAUUAACUAACACAUAACACAAAAACUCUGCCACGUCCUGACCAAAACUAAUACAAUUACGCCCUUUGCUGGUCAGGACGUGACAUACAGGUAUACUAUCGUUCAAAAGUUUUGGUCACUGAGAAAUGUCCUUGUUUUUUUUUAAAGAAAAGCACAUUUGUUUGUCCAUUAAAAUAACAUCAAAUUGAUCAGAAAUACAGUGUAGACAUUGUUAAUGUUGUAAAUGACUAUUGUAGGGGGAAACGAUUUUUUAUGGAAUAUCUACAUAGGCAUACAGAGGCCCAUUAUCAGCAACCAUCACUCCUGUGUUCCAAUGGCAUGUUGUGUUAGCUAAUCCAUGUUUAUCAUUUUAAAAGGCUAAUUGAUCAUUAGAAAACCCUUUCACAAUUAUGUUAGCACAGCUGAAAACUGUUGUCCUGAUUAAAGAAGUAAUAAAACUGGCCUUCUUUAGACUAGUUGAGUAUCUGGAGCAUCAGCAUUUGUGGGUUCGAUUACAGGCUCAAAAUGGCCAGAAACAAAGACAUUUCUUCUGAAACUCAUCAGUCUAUUCUUGUUCUGAGAAAUGAAGGCUAUUCCAAGCGAGAAAUUGCCAAGAAACUGGAGAUCUCGUACAACGCUGUGUUCUACUCCCUUCACAGAACAGUGCAAACGGGCUCUUACCAGAAUAAAAAGAGGAGUGGGAGGCCCCGGUGCACAACUGAGCAAGAGGACAAGUACAUUAGAGUGUCUAGUUUGAGAAACAGACACCUCACAAGUCCUCAACUGGCAGCUUCAUUAAAUAAACUCAGCAAAAAGGAAACGUCCUCUCACUGUCAACUGCGUUUAUUUUCAGCAAAUUUAACAUGUGUAAAAUUUGUAUGAACAUAAGAGUCAACAACUGAGACAUAAACUGAAC